GCCGCGUUCGUCUAAUGGUUAGGACAUUAGGUUCUCAGCCUAGUAAUAAGGGUUCGAUUCCCUUACGCGGUA
RNAcentral lists this transfer RNA (72 nucleotides) under Candidatus Kuenenbacteria bacterium RBG_16_41_7. RNAcentral describes it as "tRNA-Glu". It matches the Rfam family "tRNA". Rfam says of the family: Transfer RNA (tRNA) molecules are approximately 80 nucleotides in length. Their secondary structure includes four short double-helical elements and three loops (D, anti-codon, and T loops). Further hydrogen bonds mediate the characteristic L-shaped molecular structure. tRNAs have two regions of fundamental functional importance: the anti-codon, which is responsible for specific mRNA codon recognition, and the 3' end, to which the tRNAs corresponding amino acid is attached (by aminoacyl-tRNA synthetases). tRNAs cope with the degeneracy of the genetic code in two manners: having more than one tRNA (with a specific anti-codon) for a particular amino acid; and 'wobble' base-pairing, i.e. permitting non-standard base-pairing at the 3rd anti-codon position. The record is from RNAcentral. Lineage: Bacteria; Candidatus Kueneniibacteriota. RNAcentral also lists the same sequence under 3 other names.